GAGUUUGAUCAUGGCUCAGGAUGAACGCUAGCGGCAGGCUUAACACAUGCAAGUCGAGGGGUAUUCUAGCAAUAGGAGAGACCGGCGCACGGGUGCGUAACGCGUAUGCAAUCUACCUUUCACAGAGGGAUAGCCCAGAGAAAUUUGGAUUAAUACCUCAUAGUAUAAUGACUCGGCAUCGAGAUAUUAUUAAAGUCACAACGGUGAAAGAUGAGCAUGCGUCCCAUUAGCUAGUUGGUAAGGUAACGGCUUACCAAGGCGACGAUGGGUAGGGGUCCUGAGAGGGAGAUCCCCCACACUGGUACUGAGACACGGACCAGACUCCUGCGGGAGGCAGCAGUGAGGAAUAUUGGACAAUGGGCGCAAGCCUGAUCCAGCCAUGCCGCGUGCAGGAUGACGGUCCUAUGGAUUGUAAACUGCUUUUGCACAGGAAGAAACACCCCCUCGUGAGGGGGCUUGACGGUACUGUGAGAAUAAGGAUCGGCUAACUCCGUGCCAGCAGCCGCGGUAAUACGGAGGAUCCAAGCGUUAUCCGGAAUCAUUGGGUUUAAAGGGUCCGUAGGCGGUUUAGUAAGUCAGUGGUGAAAGCCCAUCGCUCAACGGUGGAACGGCCAUUGAUACUGCUAGACUUGAAUUAUUAGGAAGUAACUAGAAUAUGUAGUGUAGCGGUGAAAUGCUUAGAGAUACAUGGAAUACCAUUGCGAAGGCAG
This 710-nucleotide ribosomal RNA is filed under the name uncultured bacterium. Its description in RNAcentral is "bacterial SSU rRNA". It matches the Rfam family "Bacterial small subunit ribosomal RNA", at positions 9 to 724 of the family's 1533-position model. The record is from RNAcentral.